UAUCACAGCCAGCUUUGAUGAUU
Molecule: non-coding RNA, 23 nt
Filed under: Biomphalaria glabrata
Lineage: Eukaryota; Metazoa; Mollusca; Gastropoda; Planorbidae
Also listed under: 2 other names
Source: RNAcentral